RNAcentral lists this ribosomal RNA (492 nucleotides) under uncultured bacterium. RNAcentral's name for it is "partial 16S ribosomal RNA". It matches the Rfam family "Bacterial small subunit ribosomal RNA", at positions 29 to 507 of the family's 1533-position model. The record is from RNAcentral.
AGUGAACGCUGGCGGUAGGCCUAACACAUGCAAGUCGAACGGCAGCACAGUAAGAGCUUGCUCUUACGGGUGGCGAGUGGCGGACGGGUGAGGAAUACAUCGGAAUCUACUUUUUCGUGGGGGAUAACGUAGGGAAACUUACGCUAAUACCGCAUACGACCUACGGGUUAAAGCAGGGGAUCUUCGGACCUUGCGCGAUUGAAUGAGCCGAUGUCGGAUUAGCUAGUUGGCGGGGUAAAGGCCCACCAAGGCGACGAUCCGUAGCUGGUCUGAGAGGAUGAGCAGCGACACUGGAACUGAGACACGGACCAGACGACUACGGGAGGCAGCAGUGGGGAAUAUUGGACAAUGGGCGCAAGCCUGAUACAGCAAUACCGCGUGGGUGAAGAAGGACUUAGGGUUGUAAAGCAAUUUUGUUGGGAAAGAAAAGAAGCAGGUUAAUACCCAGAUGUUCUGACGGUACCCAAAGAAUAAGCACCGGCUAACUUCGUG